GAAACCUUCGGUCCGCGAUGAGAGGACCAAGAGAUCGAUGCUUUGAUAGAAUGCAGGCAUGUCGCUGAUCUCCCCCCGGAGAUCGACGGAGUGGGCCGGAAGACCGGCUUGUGUCAUCAGCUCGAUGACCGCCGGGUUGUCGCGGACGAGCCCGUUUCCGGC
This 162-nucleotide small RNA is filed under the name Sinorhizobium meliloti 2011. RNAcentral's name for it is "putative ncRNA". Lineage: Bacteria; Pseudomonadati; Pseudomonadota; Alphaproteobacteria; Hyphomicrobiales; Rhizobiaceae. The record is from RNAcentral.